RNAcentral lists this ribosomal RNA (1101 nucleotides) under Ophioceras venezuelense. RNAcentral describes it as "SSU rRNA". It matches the Rfam family "Eukaryotic small subunit ribosomal RNA", at positions 27 to 1144 of the family's 1831-position model. The record is from RNAcentral. Lineage: Eukaryota; Fungi; Ascomycota; Sordariomycetes; Magnaporthales; Ophioceraceae.
UAGCUUGUCUCAAAGAUUAAGCCAUGCAUGUCUAAGUAUAAGCAAUUAUACGGCGAAACUGCGAAUGGCUCAUUAAAUCAGUUAUUGUUUAUUUGAUAGUACCUUACUACUUGGAUAACCGUGGUAAUUCUAGAGCUAAUACAUGCUAAAAACCCCGGCUUCGGGAGGGGUGUAUUUAUUAGAUUAAAAACCAAUGCCCUCUGGGGCUUCUUGGUGAUUCAUGAUAACUUCUCGGAUCGCACGGCCUUGCGCCGGCGACGGUUCAUUCAAAUUUCUGCCCUAUCAACUUUCGACGGCUGGGUAUUGGCCAGCCGUGGUGACAACGGGUAACGGAGGGUUAGGGCUCGACCCCGGAGAAAACGCCUGAGAAACGGCGUUUACAUCCAAGGAAGGCAGCAGGCGCGCAAAUUACCCAAUGCCGACUCGGCGAGUAGUGACGAUAAAUACUGGUACGGGGCUCUUUCGGGUCUCGUAACUGGAAUGAGUACAAUUUAAAUCCCUUAACGAGGAACAAUUGGAGGGCAAGUCUGGUGCCAGCAGCCGCGGUAAUUCCAGCUCCAAUAGCGUAUAUUAAAAUUGUUGAGAUUAAAAAGCUCGUAGUUGAACCUUGGGCCUGGCUGGCCGGUCCGCCUCACCGCGUGCACUGGUCCGGCCGGGCCUUUCCCUCCGGGGAACCCCAUGCCCUUCACUGGGCGUGGCGGGGAACCGGGACUUUUACUUUGAAAAAAUUAGAGUGUUCAAAGCAGGCCUAUGCUCGGAUACAUUAGCAUGGAAUAAUAGAAUAGGACGUGCGGUUCUAUUUUGUUGGUUUCUAGGACCGCCGUAAUGAUUAAUAGGGACAGUCGGGGGCGUCAGUAUUCAAUUGUCAGAGGUGAAAUUCUUGGAUUUAUUGAAGACUAACUACUGUCGAAGGCAUUCGUCAAGGAUGUUUUCAUUAAUCAGGAACGAAAGUUAGGGGAUCGAAGACGAUCAGAUACCGUCGUAGUCUUAACCGUAAACUAUUAAGUCUAGGGAUCGGACGGUGGUUCUAUUUGCCCCGUCCGGCACCUUACACGAAAGUAUAAGAGCUUAUUCUGGGAAAUACGGUACAAUACUGAACUU